Non-coding RNA from Potamilus streckersoni, 71 nucleotides. Lineage: Eukaryota; Metazoa; Mollusca; Bivalvia; Unionida; Unionidae. The record is from the annotation of a GenBank genome assembly.
GACUGACUUAGAGUGGCUAGAGCGUCCGCCUAGGAUGCGGGAGGUCGUGGAUUCGAUACCCGUUUGAGUCA